RNAcentral lists this ribosomal RNA (278 nucleotides) under uncultured Vannella. RNAcentral's name for it is "partial Eukaryotic large subunit ribosomal RNA". It matches the Rfam family "Eukaryotic large subunit ribosomal RNA", at positions 1601 to 1879 of the family's 3401-position model. Lineage: Eukaryota; Discosea; Flabellinia; Vannellidae. The record is from RNAcentral.
GGAAUCCGGUUAAUAUUCCGGAACUUGGAUAUGGAUUCUUCACGGUAACGUAACUGAAUGUGGAGACGUCGGCGUGAGCCCUGGGAGGAGUUCUCUUUUCUUCUUAACAGCUUAUCACCCUGGAAUUGGUUUAUCCGGAGAUAGGGUCUUAUGGCUGGAAGAGCGCAAUACUUUUGUUGCGUCCGGUGCGCUUACGACGGUCCUUGAAAAUCCACAGGAAGGAAUAGUUUUCAUGCCAAGUCGUACUCAUAACCGCAGCAGGUCUCCAAGGUGAACAG